RNAcentral lists this long non-coding RNA (1801 nucleotides) under Hordeum vulgare. RNAcentral's name for it is "long non-coding RNA (HVUL_LNC015781)". The record is from RNAcentral. Lineage: Eukaryota; Viridiplantae; Streptophyta; Magnoliopsida; Poales; Poaceae.
ACCACCACAGCCCUGCCGUCGCCGACCACCCUCCACGCAUCCAAUUCUGCCGUCACCUCCACGCUCCACCACCACAGCCCUGCUAUCACCCCUACAUCGACCACCGCCGCUGUCGCCCCCAACCAUCCAUGCCAGCGCCGGCAAGCACCGCCGCCCCCAACCAUCGCACUGCCGCCGGCCGUUCUCCACCCAUCCACAACCGUCGUCGCCCCCAACCACCCCACUGCCGCUGAUAGUGGUAGAAGAGGAUGAGUGCUUUCGGAAUUGAUGCUCAGAUGAGGGUGGAACAAACUGAUUUUCUUAGCCAUGGAGUUGAUUUCAUCAUCAUACGGACAUGAUUAAGUACACACAUGACUCUGCAUCUCUACAGAUUUAAUAGUUUGCUCUGCUUGCUUCUAAUGUUAGUCCUCGUAUUAGAUGCUAGAUACUCUAGUUCCCGCAGAAGUUACUAUAUCUUGCACUACAGACUAUGAAUUUGUGAAGUAACAUGCCUUGCUGAUCUGAUCUGAUUCAUAUAGAAGUUCUAGUUCAUUCACACAUAUAGGUGUAAGGAUUCUUUGAUUUUGAUGUGUGGUUCAAUCUUAAUCAUAAGGUAUAUAAUUUGGAUUUAGUACACGCAUUUGAUUAUCUUAUCUAUCACUUUGCAAGACUACAAGUGUAAGUGUUUUCUUGUUCAUGACAUAUCAUGGACCAUUGAAAGUUUCUUGUAGUAACAGUCUUGUGUUAAACUGUAUGUAGUUUUGCUUAUUCUGGUUCAUGGUGCUACUUAAUUAAAGCACUUCUUUUAUGAGCUUUUAUCUUAUGCAAAUAAUGUGAUAAUUUAGAAGCCUACUUUUAUGGAUUUGGAUGUCACUUGAAAAAUUAUAAGUGUAAGUGUCUUCUUGUUCUUUGCUUAGCUAGAUGUCAAAGUAUAAGGAACAAGCUCUUGUAGAAGAUAUCUUUUUUUGCGAAAAUCUCACGUACAAGAUGUAAAUGUACAAUUAAGUAGCAAACUCGUUUCCUUUGCUUAAUAAUAUAGCAGUUUUGCAAAACACAAUUCUCUAUUUAAAAUGUGUUAUUUUCACUUGUCCAGUUUCCUUUGCUCAAUUUUUUGAUACGUGUUAAUUUAUUAAAUAAAUCAUCAGCUUGCUGAAUAAUAGUUUUAGGUACACUGUGUGGUGUUUUUGGCUGAUGAAAUAAACUUUGUUUAAUAGGAUUAGGGACAUUUCUGAUUUCUGAACCCCCAACCUGUUCCUAUUUGUUUGUAAGCUCAGUCCGGUAAUACAAGUUAGCAUUUUGUCCUAAUUGUUCUUUGAACUAAAAAGGUAACCUUCUUGUUGUUCGUUCUACACCACUAAUCUGUUUAACCAUCCUUGAGAAAGGCUUUGGCUGUUAUUAGGCAUUGUACGAGCAGAAAUUUGGAAUGGAAUCUCAUUACUGAAGAAAGUUGACAGGAAUGGAGCAUCACUGCGGCGCAACGGGUGGAAUCUAGUGUACAAAAUAGUGAACAUGUAAUUUGUCUUCCUGGGCAUGGCUACAGCCAUGUGUUGUGCUUAACCAUUUGAGUAGCUCAGUUUGAAGAUACAAAAAAAUAUUUUCGUAUGUAAAUUUUGUGUACCCUUGUAGCUUAAUGCUAGUGAACAGAUGUGUGGAUGUGGAAGUACCAAAUUAUUAGUCUAUGAAUGUUUCUAAACUUUAAGGUUUUGAGGCUAUAUGUAACCUUGUUCAAGGUGUAUAUAUAAAUUGCCAAAUUAGCUAACAUAGAAAAUGUAUAUUAAAUUAGAGAUAUGUUGAACAGUUUGCAAGUCAAAUCAAGAUGAUG